UACGAAGGGUGCAAGCGUUACUCGGAAUUACUGGGCGUAAAGCGUGCGUAGGUGGUGAGUUAAGCCUGUCGUGAAAGCCCCGGGCUCAACCUGGGAAUGGCGAUGGAUACUGGCUCGCUAGAGUGCGGUAGAGGAGAGUGGAAUUCCCGGUGUAGCAGUGAAAUGCGUAGAGAAUCGGGAGGAACAUCAGUUGCGAAGGCCGGCUCUCUGGACCAGCACUGACACUGAGGCACGAAAGCGUGGGAGCAACAGG
RNAcentral lists this ribosomal RNA (253 nucleotides) under uncultured bacterium. Its description in RNAcentral is "partial 16S ribosomal RNA". It matches the Rfam family "Bacterial small subunit ribosomal RNA", at positions 524 to 776 of the family's 1533-position model. The record is from RNAcentral.